CGACCGGCGCACGGGUGCGUAACGCGUAUGCAACCUACCUUUAACAGGGGGAUAACACUGAGAAAUUGGUACUAAUACCCCAUAAUAUCAUAGAAGGCAUCUUUUAUGGUUGAAAAUUCCGAUGGUUAGAGAUGGGCAUGCGUUGUAUUAGCUAGUUGGUGGGGUAACGGCUCACCAAGGCGACGAUACAUAAGGGGACUGAGAGGUUAACCCCCCACACUGGUACUGAGACACGGACCAG
Molecule: ribosomal RNA, 241 nt
Filed under: uncultured bacterium
Lineage: Bacteria
Description: partial 16S ribosomal RNA
Rfam family: Bacterial small subunit ribosomal RNA
Source: RNAcentral